Pan troglodytes (chimpanzee) is the source of this 3917-nucleotide long non-coding RNA. RefSeq lists it as uncharacterized. Lineage: Eukaryota; Metazoa; Chordata; Mammalia; Primates; Hominidae. The transcript is spliced from 8 exons. The record is from RefSeq and is a predicted model, not a curated record.
GAUCGGUGAACACAGAGAGAGUCACUGAGACAAGCUUAGGGUUGACCCUAAGCUUGAACCAGAGGGAAAACUCAGACCUCCACCGAGUAGGAUGGGCAGUGGGAGGCUGGGGUGCAAUGAUCCUGAAGGAUGCUGAGGGACACACCACUGCUCCCGUGACCUCCACCUGACGUUCCUCAGGGAAGUGACACCCCCUCCAAAAUAUGCAACGAGAGAGGCCCUGGGGAGACGCAGGCUUGGGUUUCAGAUGUGGGCGAUUCUCACACAGGCUGCAGAUUCUAGGCCUUGGUCUGCAGCCCGCUCACUCCACGCUGCUGAGACUCAGUUUUCUCAUCUGCCAAGUGAGAGGUCUGGAUUUGGAGAUGAUUAUUACAGCUAAUAUUUGCUGAACAUUUACUGUGUGCCAGGCAUCGCGCCAGACACUUUGCAUCGGUACCUCGUUCAGCCUUCACAUCCGCCCAGUGAGGUGAGGAAACUGAGGUACAUGAAGUCACUUCCCCAAGGCCACCCUAGGCUCGUCUAGCUGGGAUCUGAACCCAGGCCUGCCUGGCUCCACGUUCUUCAUCCUCACACCCUGCUACCUCCUUGUUGCACCAGAGGGGGUCCCUGUGAGCCUCUGGCUUUCCUGCUGGAAGGACUUAAAGGAUCUCUCUUGCAUGUGGAAUUUGAGGCGCAUUUAAACAUUGUCCACACUAAGCCUGGUACGGAAGAUGGCCACCGAUCUCGGGGCAAGGUCUUCUCCCUUGGGCCUGUGUCUCCACGCCCAGGCCUGGUAUGCAGCAGGUGCUCAUGAGUGUCAGGAGCUGGACAGGAACAGUCAGGAUGCCUUUUGUGUUUCUGCCAGUGUCGCGAGCACCUGCUCUGGGGCAUGCACCAGGCUGGGUUCCAGGAUCUAACAGGGAGGAGAAGCUGGUCCCAUCACUGGCCUCAGAGGUCAGUGUCUAGCAGGGUCAUUCCAUGUCCCCUCGUCCCAGCCUCCUCUGGUCAGACUUCCUCUGAGGGGACAGGGGGUUGUUAAAUAUGCAAAGGAUGUGGAUUUUGGAGUCAGACACAUCUGAGCUCCAAUUACAGCUCUGCCACUUACUGGCUGUGCAUGGAACCUCGGACCGAUGGCCACCUCUCAGCCUCGGUACAAACGACAAUGCCUCAUUCUAGGCCCUUGGUGGGCAGACCCCCAGCAGGGCUAGGAGUCCCUUGAGCCCCAGGGAGGAGGAAGCCCGUAGGCAGGAGGGGUUCGGCUGUGGACAGGGGACCUGGCAGUCAGCUCCCAGAAGCUUCCGACCGUUGGUGGCUGUGGAGAGCGAAGCGGUAUGCAGGGGAAAUGAAAAGAGGCCAGACGUCGUCCAGGCCGCAGCACGCAAGGGCACCUCACUCCGCGCCUUCGUUCCCUCCCAGGCUCAGAAAGGGGAAGGCAGCCCAGACCAGGAAGUGGCCAGCUUCUGAUGGCCACCGCAUGGGGACCGCACCAGCCCCAGCAGGAAGUGGCUGGCCCCUUCCCACCCCCUGCCGAGCCAGGCCCUCCUGCACUCACACUUGGGAACCAGCCAGCCUGAAAGUCCCUGUUCUCAGGUUCUGGGACCAACACUGCAUUCUUAGAAGCCUGGGUCCGGCCGGGGCCCCUGACGUUGUGGCUGGGGGUCCACAGACCUGGGUUCUCAGCCCCGCUUUGCCACUUCCUCGCCCUGAAGCCUCAGCCAAGUUGCUUCCCCGUCUGGACCUAUUCCUCGUCUGUUAAAUGGGGUGAUCACCCACCACCCGCUGCCUCAGAGGGACAGUGAAAAUGGGGAGUCCUGAAAGGCCAGAGCUGGAAAGUCCCCGAAGAGUCCUUACAGAGGAGGCAGGUGGGAAAGGAGGGAGAUUGUCCCCAGUCCCACAGCCAGUGGGUAGCAGGGCCGUGAGGUUCUGGAAAGAGCACUGCAUUGGGAGGUAGCACUUGGCCCAAGCCUCACUCAGCUCCUUCCUAGCUAUGGGACCUUGGCCAAGUCAACCAAGGCCCCUGGGCCUUUUCCUACAAGACAGCAAACCUCGUCUCCCAGGGCUCCUGGGGCGCGCAGAUGCUCCGUACUGUGUUGUGAACAGGAAGGGCUUCUUGCUGGAGGUAGACUGGAACUCAGAUCUCAAGGGUUCCCGUUCUUUGCUGCCCCCUCCCCUGAACUCCAUAUGCAAGGAGUGGGGUCUGGCACCUCCUGUGGGGAGGACUCCUCUUGCUUGCCUCUACCCCUGCCUCCCCCCAUUGGGUGAGAGGUGGCAAAUCUCUUUCCUUGAUUCCACUGAGUCACUGGAGGCCGCGCUCUUGGAGGAGCUGCGUGUGAAGUCACCUCUCCCACAUCAGCAGCCAGAGACGCCAUUGCCACUGACACUGUGGCACCCAAACCCCCGUCUACUGCAGGCUGGCAGAGCCCUCCACAGACCCAGGAGCCGAAACAGCCUUUGUGGUGCAGCCAAGGGUUGGAAAAACUGAGCCCAGAUUGGGGCCAGGACAUACCCAACAUCACAGCACAGAUGAAGACACAGCCAGGACCAGAACCCAAAUCUCCUACACCAGUGGGCUUUCCCCCCUGAGCCUGAACAUGGAGUCAUCACUGGCUCAGUGACUACUGAGUGGAAAGGGAUUCGAGACGGCAGAGCACUGUGCGGAGAUAGCUGGGCAUGAGGGGAGAGAAUGCAAGCCUCAGCUGGGAAUCGGGACUCUUGGAUUCUCGUCUUCUCAGAUUGACUUAAUUCACCACUUCAGAGAGGUACUCCUUGGGAUCAUAAAUGAACUACCUGCAACUCACAUCCUAGUGUGAGUUGCAGGGUCUGCUUUCAGAUCAGCCCAAACUCAGGACUGUCUGUCUCCAGAGCCAACACUCAACUAUCACGUUAUGCAUCAUCCCACCUCACCCCCAGGGACCUCCCUCAUAAUGGAAGCAGCAGCAAAGACUUCAUAAUGAACCGCACCAGAUUCUAGAGGCACCUGCAUUCCUUGGCUUGUGGCCUCUUCCUCCAUCUCAAAGUGCAUCGCUCCAAUUUCUGCUUCUGUCAUCACAUCGCCUUUUCCUCCAGCUCCGACUCCUCCUGCAUCCAUCUGAAAAGGGUAAUCCAGGAUAUUCUCCCUAUCUCAAGAUCCUUCAUCACAUCUGCAAAGUCUCAGAGUCUCGCUCUGUCGCCAAGCUGGAGUACAGUGGUGCGAUCUCAGCUCACUGCAACCUCUGCCUCACUGCAACCUCUGCCUCCCGGAUUCAAGCGAUUCUCCUGCCUCAAGCUCCUGAGUAGCUGGGACGACAAACUGCUACCAAAGGGGCCACGCAGGACGUCCUCUGGGGAAUGCUGGCUCCCACACCACCCGCCUCGGCUCCUGGGCCAAGGUUUUGCCUUGAUCUGUCCAUCCCACUGCACAUGGCUUCAAGGAGGCAUUCAUGGGAAUCCCUGCUCAGGUCAGGCAGCAUCGUGUCAAGGUCAUGGCCCCUUGAAGAUUCUUUGAGGAAGUGGCUGUUGAGCUCCCAACCCCCGGGCUGGAGCAGGAGGAUCAGACACCCCGGCCUCAGCCCCAGAGCAUGAAAGCCCUCCCCCCUCACCCAGCUGCUCUGCAGACCCACACUUGCACACAACUCCAUGUGCCGCUGACCAGCUCUGACCUCGUCCUGGGCAAGGCUGGCGGGGCCUAGACCCAAACCCACAACAGUGUGUGGCUCCCAGGGAGGCAGCGUUUCCUGGGCACCAGCUCUUUAGAGGAUGCCUUCAGAAGUCCCAAUCCAGCCUCUCCCCUCAUGAAAUCCUGUCCUUGAAUCAUCCAGCCUAGCCCCCUGCGUAGCUGUGCAUUUCCGAGACCCCGAAUCCAUAAUAUUCAUAUGAGUGAGGUGGAGGGCAGGGAGAAUCGCUGCCAUUUAUUCAACCCUUAAUAAAUGCUGGGUGCUGCACAAAGCACUUUAAAUAAA